Molecule: ribosomal RNA, 492 nt
Filed under: uncultured bacterium
Lineage: Bacteria
Description: partial 16S ribosomal RNA
Rfam family: Bacterial small subunit ribosomal RNA
Source: RNAcentral
AGUGAACGCUGGCGGUAGGCCUAACACAUGCAAGUCGAACGGCAGCACAGUAAGAGCUUGCUCUUACGGGUGGCGAGUGGCGGACGGGUGAGGAAUACAUCGGAAUCUACUUUUUCGUGGGGGAUAACGUAGGGAAGCUUACGCUAAUACCGCAUACGACCUACGGGUGAAAGCAGGGGAUCUUCGGACCUUGCGCGAUUGAAUGAGCCGAUGUCGGAUUAGCUAGUUGGCGGGGUAAAGGCCCACCAAGGCGACGAUCCGUAGCUGGUCUGAGAGGAUGAUCAGCCACACUGGAGCUGAGACACGGUCCAGACUCCUACGGGAGGCAGCAGUGGGGAAUAUUGGACAAUGGGCGCAAGCCUGAUCCAGCUAUACCGCGUGGGUGAAGAAGGCCUUCGGGUUGUAAAGCCCUUUUGUUGGGAAAGAAAAGCAGCAGGUUAAUACCCCGCUGUUCUGACGGUACCCAAAGAAUAAGCACCGGCUAACUUCGUG